This 1954-nucleotide ribosomal RNA is filed under the name Vibrio cholerae. RNAcentral's name for it is "bacterial LSU rRNA". It matches the Rfam family "Bacterial large subunit ribosomal RNA", at positions 1 to 1990 of the family's 2925-position model. The record is from RNAcentral. Lineage: Bacteria; Pseudomonadati; Pseudomonadota; Gammaproteobacteria; Vibrionales; Vibrionaceae.
GUUGUAUGGUUAAGUGACUAAGCGUACACGGUGGAUGCCUGGGCAGUCAGAGGCGAUGAAGGACGUACUAACUUGCGAUAAGCGCAGAUAAGGCAGUAAGAGCCGUUUGAGUCUGCGAUUUCCGAAUGGGGAAACCCAACUGCAUAAGCAGUUACUGUUAACUGAAUACAUAGGUUAACAGAGCAAACCGGGGGAACUGAAACAUCUAAGUACCCCGAGGAGAAGAAAUCAACCGAGAUUCCGGUAGUAGCGGCGAGCGAACCUGGAUUAGCCCUUAAGCACUCGGUGAAGUAGGUGAACAAGCUGGAAAGCUUGGCGAUACAGGGUGAUAGCCCCGUAACCGACGCUUCAUCGAGCGUGAAAUCGAGUAGGGCGGGACACGUGAUAUCCUGUCUGAAUAUGGGGGGACCAUCCUCCAAGGCUAAAUACUCCUGACUGACCGAUAGUGAACCAGUACCGUGAGGGAAAGGCGAAAAGAACCCCUGUGAGGGGAGUGAAAUAGAACCUGAAACCGUGUACGUACAAGCAGUAGGAGCACCUUCGUGGUGUGACUGCGUACCUUUUGUAUAAUGGGUCAGCGACUUAUAUUCAGUGGCAAGGUUAACCGUAUAGGGGAGCCGUAGCGAAAGCGAGUCUUAACUGGGCGCUCAGUCUCUGGAUAUAGACCCGAAACCGGGUGAUCUAGCCAUGGGCAGGUUGAAGGUUGAGUAACAUCAACUGGAGGACCGAACCGACUAAUGUUGAAAAAUUAGCGGAUGACUUGUGGCUAGGGGUGAAAGGCCAAUCAAACUCGGAGAUAGCUGGUUCUCCCCGAAAGCUAUUUAGGUAGCGCCUCGGACGAAUACUACUGGGGGUAGAGCACUGUUAAGGCUAGGGGGUCAUCCCGACUUACCAACCCUUUGCAAACUCCGAAUACCAGUAAGUACUAUCCGGGAGACACACGGCGGGUGCUAACGUCCGUCGUGGAGAGGGAAACAACCCAGACCGCCAGCUAAGGUCCCAAAGUAUUGCUAAGUGGGAAACGAUGUGGGAAGGCUCAGACAGCUAGGAUGUUGGCUUAGAAGCAGCCAUCAUUUAAAGAAAGCGUAAUAGCUCACUAGUCGAGUCGGCCUGCGCGGAAGAUGUAACGGGGCUAAGCAAUACACCGAAGCUGCGGCAAUGUCUUUUAGACAUUGGGUAGGGGAGCGUUCUGUAAGCCGUUGAAGGUGAAUCGUAAGGUUUGCUGGAGGUAUCAGAAGUGCGAAUGCUGACAUGAGUAACGACAAAGGGGGUGAAAAACCUCCUCGCCGGAAGACCAAGGGUUCCUGUCCAACGUUAAUCGGGGCAGGGUGAGUCGACCCCUAAGGUGAGGCCGAAAGGCGUAAUCGAUGGGAAACGGGUUAAUAUUCCCGUACUUCUGACUAUUGCGAUGGGGGGACGGAGAAGGCUAGGUGGGCCAGGCGACGGUUGUCCUGGUUCAAGUGCGUAGGCUUGAGAGUUAGGUAAAUCCGGCUCUCUCUAAGGCUGAGACACGACGUCGAGCUACUACGGUAGUGAAGUCAUUGAUGCCAUGCUUCCAGGAAAAGCCUCUAAGCUUCAGAUAGUCAGGAAUCGUACCCCAAACCGACACAGGUGGUCGGGUAGAGAAUACCAAGGCGCUUGAGAGAACUCGGGUGAAGGAACUAGGCAAAAUGGUACCGUAACUUCGGGAGAAGGUACGCUCUUGAUGGUGAAGUCCCUCGCGGAUGGAGCUGACGAGAGUCGCAGAUACCAGGUGGCUGCAACUGUUUAUUAAAAACACAGCACUGUGCAAAAUCGCAAGAUGACGUAUACGGUGUGACGCCUGCCCGGUGCCGGAAGGUUAAUUGAUGGGGUUAGCGCAAGCGAAGCUCUUGAUCGAAGCCCCGGUAAACGGCGGCCGUAACUAUAACGGUCCUAAGGUAGCGAAAUUCCUUGUCGGGUAAGUUCCGACCUG